GACGAACGCUGGCGGCGUGCUUAACACAUGCAAGUCGAACGGAAAGGCCCUGCUUUUGUGGGGUGCUCGAGUGGCGAACGGGUGAGUAACACGUGAGUAACCUGCCCUUGACUUUGGGAUAACUUCAGGAAACUGGGGCUAAUACCGGAUAGGGGCUCCUGCUGCAUGGUGGGGGUUGGAAAGUUUCGGCGGUUGGGGAUGGACUCGCGGCUUAUCAGCUUGUUGGUGGGGUAGUGGCUUACCAAGGCUUUGACGGGUAGCCGGCCUGAGAGGGUGACCGGCCACAUUGGGACUGAGAUACGGCCCAGACUCCUACGGGAGGCAGCAGUGGGGAAUAUUGCACAAUGGGCGGCAGCCUGAUGCAGCAACGCCGCGUGCGGGAUGACGGCCUUCGGGUUGUAAACCGCUUUCGCCUGUGACGAAGCGUGAGUGACGGUAAUGGGUAAAGAAGCACCGGCUAACUACGUG
Molecule: ribosomal RNA, 468 nt
Filed under: uncultured bacterium
Lineage: Bacteria
Description: partial 16S ribosomal RNA
Rfam family: Bacterial small subunit ribosomal RNA
Source: RNAcentral